GUUACCUGGAGCAGGUCUGAGUACCUGCCCUGGGGGGCCAAGGAGGAGAAGGCAGAGACAGAGGACAAACUGCAGACCCUGCCCAGAAUAGCAGGCUUUCUACCCUAGACCCUGGGAGACAAAGAACUCCAUGCCUAGGCAGGCCUGAUGUUUGACUAUGAUCCUCAGAAGACCUGAGCCUGAGAAGCUGAAAUCCUGAUGUUGUCCCUUAGACCCUGAGGCUCAGAGAACAAAAUGAAGAAGACAAACUGACAGCAACUGACAGAAAAAGAGCUCAACAGAAAUGAGGCAGAGAAGAUUGGAUGAUAGGAACAGCUAUUUUGGAGAAAAUGACAUCUUAAUAGGUAAUACUGAUUUAGUAUCAUCUUGUUUUGAAGUCUCAUCUAGCUUUUGUUCUUCUGUCCUCAAUGGUCUAAAUGGGUUGUAUCUUAUUGGAUUUUAUUAUGUACGAUAGUAUAAGCAAAAACCUUUUAAAGACAAGGAGAUUAUACAGAAACCAUUGUUCAUUUUCUGUUAGUCGAUUCUAAAUACUCUGUAAUGCUGUCAUUCUCUUAAAUGGUUUUACAUUGUUUUGAUAUACUUAAUGCUACAGUAUACGAAGUUGUACUCAAGGAUUUCAAGGAAAGAGACAAUAUGGUAACUACUUUUGGGUCGGGAUUAUCUGGUGGUGAAACACUAUUCUGCUUAAAUGGUUAUGUUUUGAUCUGCGCUGUUUUGCUGUUAUGCCCUCUUUUAUCUCAAUCUCCACUCCAUUAUUUACUUUUUUAUUUUUAUCCUUUUAAUUAAAGAAAAAAAUAGCAGGAUAUAUUAUAGUAACCCAUUUUGACUUUCCAUUAUCUCGAUUUGAAGCCCUGUAUUACUCUAACCAUCUUGUUUUUGACUGAUGUUCCCCUAUUCUGUUUUGCUGGAUAGUAUCAGGUUCGAAAGUUUAGGCAUCAGCUGUGAAGAUAAUGAGAUUCAUUAUAACUCCCAUUCUCGCUGAUUCUCGUUGACUUUUAUCUACUUUUGAAGACCUACAAUGUCACCAAUGUUUUCGUUUUGUCGGUUUUGUUCUUUACUGUUUUGUUCAAUUUUAUUAUAACUAAUGAUAUAGGCAAUUCUUUUAGAGAUAGCGGGAGGCAUUAUGGUAACCAUUGUUGAUCACCUUGUAUUAUGUUUUUACAUUAUCUAUUAUGUCCACCCUUUUGACUUGACCGAUUCUCUUCUGUUACGUCACAUUUGGUUUUACUCUCUUCCAAAAAAGUAAUAAGAACUGUGGGAGCAAUGAAACCCAAAAUGUGUAAUAGUCAUUGUACAAAAGAGAGGAAAAGAAAGUGCUCUAAACUAUAUAACUGCAUGUAUAUUUAAGUGUAUAAGAUAGAAGAUGAUAUCACAGAGUUUUAUUGGAUCAUUGAACAGAACUGUUUGCAGUAUCAUUGUUGGAAUGUCCACUUUACAAGCUUUAAUUUUGUGACUUGAACAAUUAUUUCUAAGUUGACAAUAUGUAAUCCAUUAACUAGUGAUUUCCUACUGUUCAUUUUUUUCUGUAAAUCUGUAUAACUUGUACCCUUUCUCUGCUUUUUUUUCUUUUCUCCUUAAAUAAAAUUUAAAAAAAAUUUUUUUUUGCUCCCCUCCCAUCCCAAGGGAGUUGGCCCAAAAUGAUCUUUUUAUCCUCUUAACCAACAGUGAGUGAAACAGAAAAUCAAGGGAAGGUGAAGAGUCAGAAAGGCCCUGCCGAACAUGUCUGUCAUCUUUGUGGGCUCUUUUGGGUGGCAUUCGUGGAGGUGCUCUGUGUUGUAGAUUCAACAUUGCCCCCCAGCUCCACCAACUAUCACCUAACACAUAAAUGGAGUCACAGUUGCAACAAAUCAUGCACAUUUGUCUGUGGAGAAUUGAGAAUAGUGUGGAGUGUCCAAGAACCCACCUCCCAGAAGGCUGCAGGCAGCUAACCAACAUAUAGGAAAAGGAUACAAAAUCAUACCACACUGACUGAAGCAUCAGAGAAUAGAUGAGAGCCAAUUUUGGUAAACUUUAUGAAAAACUUUUUUUUAUUUUGAAGCAAUAAAAUAAAAUAAUAAAUGAAAUAAAACAAAACAUUGACAACAAUAUUAAAUUUCAAGAAAAAGACAGAAGGAAAUUUCCCAUAGUUGCUAUAUUGCAUAUUGUUAUCCUCUAAUCAGAUGCUCAGACUACUGGCCACAGACCUACAAAGUCAAUCAACCAGUACAAGCAUUAAGUUAUUUUUAGUACUUCAGUUGCUAUCAUCCCAGCCUGUGUUGCUCUGAAUCAGCUUGUUGCUUACACAGAGGUUGGGGGUUGGGGGUAGGGGUGGGAGAGACUCUUCUUGUCUCCCAGCCUGCAUGCCAGCUGGCUCAUGGGAAAGGCAGGCUAACUUCCUGGUUCUUUUCCAGCCCACAUCUGCCCCUGGCUCAUGGGAAAAGCAAGCUGACUUCUUGGUUCUUUCUUGGUCCACAGCCAUCACUAGCAAAAACUUAUCCUUAAAGAUGACUCUUUAGUAUUCUUGGGUGAGAAUCAUCAAACAGUGACCUCUUAUAUUAGCCGCAAAUCUCUGCACAGUCGGGGAAAUCCUUAAUGUCUGGAAGAAGACAAGACUGAAGUCAAGGAAUAGUUAGAAGGCCAUUUUGUGACUGCAACUCAAAACAAAAGAGAUGCUUAACUCACAAAGGUGAGCUAAGCCACCACAGUACACAGACAAAAAAAUGACAGACUUGAAUACAAUAAGGUAGUAAAACUGACAGGAUCUCACAACUGGUUGGAUACGGUGAGGGAUGUGAAGAGAAGGAGGGAAAGAGUCAACAGUGACUCUCAUUUUCCUGGCCCUGUGGACUUCCUACUCUUAGGAUCUUGAUCUAGAAUAUCAAUAUUCUCAUGUGAUUCAAUCACGAGGGCUCUAUAUUAAUCAGUAGAUUCAUCUAACAAUGCCUUUGAUAGCUAAUGUGCUGUAUGGAGGUUGGGGGCACAACCUAGAAGUAUAUGUCUCCUUCCUUGGUCACUCCUUUCUCUCUGCUUCCUGGCAGCCAUGUUGUGAGCAUCUUCCCUUCCUGCACCCUUCUACCAUGCUGUUUCUGUCUUGGAGCCAGCUGACCAUGGGAUGAACCCACUGAAAUUGUGAGCUAAAAUAAGCCUCUCUCCUUUAAGAUUUGGGUGUUGGGUAUUGUGUCUCAGUGAUAAGGAAAGUGACUAAGACACAUACAUUAAGACUGAGAAGCCAGUAGGAGAAGAUUUAGGCCUUGAUUUUUAACUUGGACAGGUUAUAUUGGAAAAUUCAUUCUUAAAGGGAAUAAUGUAAAUGCAGUAAGGCUGAGUUAGAUAUUUGGAGCUGGGAAUCACACAGAUAGUGGAUAAAGUCAAGUAAUGCAUUCCUUGUCAAACUCCAUGCUUGGGAGGCAUCUAGAAGUAAGUUCUCUUUGGAAAUCUUCACAUGCUAAAUUCUUGGAUCUUUUCUUCUAGCCUUGAGUAUUAGGAUAAUCUUAUUCUGUCACUACUAGGAACAAUAAAAACUAAAGUCAAUGGCUACCUAAAUGUUAUCCCAAGGAAUCACUGUGGUGUACUUGCUUUACCACCUGUAUCAGAUAUCUCUUAUGGACCAUUUGAAUCCUCUCAGCUUCCUCUAACUCUUAUUUUAGCCUUUAUGUGGUCACCUAAGGAGCUCUGGGAAGUUUUGCCCAGGCACAGCCAGGCUAUAUCAAGCCUCUCAUCACCCAACUCAGUGCCUGCCAGCAGACAGCAUAAAGUAGGAUUUCUCAGGAGCUCAUUCAGUACCCAUAUUAUGCCCAAGCUCAGAAAAGAGGAUGUUGACAUCUUACAAGAUUAAUCCAUGAUCUAUUGAGACAGAAGUUAGAGGACAGCUGUUUCCCCUGUCUUCCCCUGAUGGAUAGUCUUAAGACACAUUUCAUAUGGCUCCUCAGGUGACUCCAUGCCCCAAUUCAACCACAGAGCUUUUUUCUUUCCUUGGGUCCACAUUCUCCAGGAAUAUCCUCAUCUUUGCAUUUUUGAUCAGCCUGGUAUUUUUUAAUGUAGGCCAACACACAAUGGUAAUGAACAAGUAGAGGAAUAUAGCAGUCAGCUUGUUUUUAACUAAACGCUAUCUGGGAAAAAGGAGGAUGGCAUUCCUUUGGGGAUAUGUAUGCUAAAUCAUUGUAAAAGUUGGUUUCUAUAGUGCAGGAAAAUUAUUUUCAGUGGAGUCAACAAAGAGAUAUGCCACAUAAUUAUUUUUAAGACUUAUUUUCAUGGUUUAAAUUGGUGGCCCCAUGCCUCAUGCAUUUGCAUUGUGCAUUUGUGAUUGGUGCAUUGUCUAGCACUAGGAUUGGGGGUGAGAGUGCUACACUGGCUUAGGGGUGGAGCCAGGAUGCAAUGUAAUGGCAGGAAGAAGGUGUGUCUCACUCUUUUGCAGGUUUCUUCCUUAUGGUUUGCAACCACCAUGAACUGCAGUCCAGCCAUGCCACCCUGCCUUGGAUCCAGUUUGGACUGAAACCUCCAAAAACUUCAUGCUAAGAGCCAGAAGCUUCCACAAUGUUCCUGACAACAAGAUCCACAUAGCCAAGUACUGGGGGGCACUGGUCAAAGCCCUUCUGCCAGGCCCUGGUCUGUAAUCCUUUGGGAAAGAAGCAGGUGAUGAAGAAACCCAGGAAAAGAGAAAUGUGUCACCACUCAGCUGUGGCUUGGACUCUGAUCUAUCUGAAGAAGCACAGAGAGUACACUGGGACAAAAAAGGAGACACACCACGAUCCCUUAAUGGAUGAAGAGAAUAGUUACUCACUUAAUAUUUUUGCAUACCCACAGUGUUAGGGAAUCCAUCACUGAAUAAGACAGGCACCUUCCUGCCUUCAUGGAUCUUCCCAUCACAAGAUGCUACAUGCCAUGGCCAGAGUUCCAAGAAGAAGGCGCUCCAUACAGAAUCCAAGAAAUACAUUGCUGCUACAGAUUCCAGCAUGUCUUUCUAUUUCCAGUCCAUGUCUUCACCUGUCAGUCAUACUUUGGUCUGCCCUGGCUGAGGCUACCCAGUCCACCCAUGAGGACUGACAAAGAAUCUUCCUGAUAUGGAUCCUGCUGGUCUCAUCUGUGGGAAGAGCUGCAGGUCCUUGGGCAAGCCUUCACCUGGCCCUUUCUCUUAAAGGUAUCACCUGGGCAUGAUUGGGCCCUUCCCUGCUUCCAACCUCUGCAGAAAGGUAGGUUUUACCACCACUGUCCUUUUUUCUUAAAAGUGGCCUUUAGACUUUUUAAUUAGGAUCCACAGGGAAAAAUACACUUUAUAUUGCAUUAAACUUUUUAUCAAACUAAUUAUGAACACAUUUCAAAGCUAUUUUUAUAAAUUUGCUGCAAAAGAAAAGAUUUCCAGCAGCCCAAUUCAGAGAUUUAUUUGUAGUAGGCACAUUUCGCAGAAAAAGAAGAUAGCUAUUAUUAGUCUAACUCCUAGAAAAAAAUAAACAUUUUGUUAAAGAUCACUGAAUUCGUACCUGAUGCUCAGCUGACAGGCAAUAGAGUGAGUAGGAAACCAGUGUCUUUGAGCAAGUCUUAGUCCCACUGUAGUGUAACAGAAAAUUGCUUAAAUGUCUUCUCAAGGAUGCUCAUUUUUUUCCAAGAAAAUGAUUAUGAAUUACAAUACAUGAUGGCUUUUAUCUCAAAUAAAAUUUAGAACAAUUUUUCCUUUACAGUUGCAACUGGAAAACAUCUUUGUUAUUGAAAUAUAAGUCAUAAUAAAUACCUAA
Molecule: long non-coding RNA, 5708 nt
Organism: Cavia porcellus (domestic guinea pig)
Lineage: Eukaryota; Metazoa; Chordata; Mammalia; Rodentia; Caviidae
Exons: 3
Source: RefSeq, a predicted model, not a curated record